CAUUCCAGCCUGGGUUGCC
RNAcentral lists this non-coding RNA (19 nucleotides) under Rattus norvegicus (Norway rat). The record is from RNAcentral. Lineage: Eukaryota; Metazoa; Chordata; Mammalia; Rodentia; Muridae.